ACCAGGCAUGGUGGCGCACGCCUGUAAUCCCAGCACUCGGGAGGCUAAGGCAGGAGGAUCGUUGUGAGUUCGAGGCCAGCCUGGGCUACACAGUGAGCUCAAGGUCAGCCUGAACUACAUAGUGAGAUCCUGUCUCAAAAAGACAAAAAAAAAAAAAAAGACAAGUUCUCGCUAUGCAAUUCGGGCUGGCCUUGAGCUCACUCUUUAGUCCACGCUGGCCUCGAACUUGAAACGAUCCUCCUGCCUCA
This 248-nucleotide small RNA is filed under the name Chinchilla lanigera (long-tailed chinchilla). RNAcentral's name for it is "Metazoan signal recognition particle RNA (ENSCLAG00000021459.1)". The record is from RNAcentral. Lineage: Eukaryota; Metazoa; Chordata; Mammalia; Rodentia; Chinchillidae.